This 428-nucleotide ribosomal RNA is filed under the name uncultured bacterium. Its description in RNAcentral is "bacterial SSU rRNA". It matches the Rfam family "Bacterial small subunit ribosomal RNA", at positions 355 to 774 of the family's 1533-position model. The record is from RNAcentral.
UGGGGAAUCUUGGGCAAUGGGCGCAAGCCUGACCCAGCGACGCCGCGUGGGGGAAGAAGGUCCUCGGAUCGUAAACCUCUGUCAGGAGGGAAGAACGGGCCGUCUCCAAAGAGGGGACGGUUUUGACGGUACCUCCUGAGGAAGCACCGGCCAACUCCGUGCCAGCAGCCGCGGUAAUACGGAGGGUGCAAGCGUUAUUCGGAAUCACUGGGCGUAAAGCGCGCGUAGGCGGCUUCGCAAGUCAGAUGUGAAAGCCCUCGGCUUAACCGAGGAAUUGCAUCUGAAACUGCGUGGCUUGAGUCCGAGAGAGGGUGGCGGAAUUCCCGGUGUAGGGGUGAAAUCCGUAGAUAUCGGGAGGAACACCAGAGGCGAAGGCGGCCACCUGGCUCGGCACUGACGCUGAGGCGCGAAAGCGUGGGCAGCAAACA